This 1197-nucleotide long non-coding RNA is filed under the name Strigops habroptila (Kakapo). RNAcentral's name for it is "lncRNA (ENSSHBG00005001237.1)". The record is from RNAcentral. Lineage: Eukaryota; Metazoa; Chordata; Aves; Psittaciformes; Psittacidae.
CUUUCUGCGCGGCCCGGGGCGCUGGGGCGCGGCGGUGGGGAUGCGGGGCGCCCUGCGGCGGGUGCCCCUCUCGGCGGGUGCCCCUCUCGGCGGGUGCCCGGCGGCGGGGGCGGUGCUGCCGGUGGCUCUGUGGCUUGUGAGCGGUUCCGUCCGUGCCGCAGCGGUAGCUUGGGCCGCCGGGCGCUCCGGCAGCGGCAGGGCGGUGGCUGGCGGCCCGGGGAGCGAUGCACUCGGCCUCAGAGCUGCUGCCGCUGCCUCCCGAGGCAGCUCCUUCGGCAGAGCAUGUGCGCGCCCGAGCAGCAGAGCGGUUCCCCGUUUCUCUCACAGGGGUUAGAACUGCUCUCUGCUGUUCAGCGGCAGAGGGGUUGGAGCUGGAUGAUAUUUAAGGUCCCUUCCAACCCAAACCAUGCUAUGAUUAUAAAUCCAAUUCUGGCAGCACAAAACAAUAACUAUAAGCUGAGGAACUGAAGGGGCGGGUCGCUGGCACCGUUCCCUUAACGGCGUAAGGCAUCACUUAAAAGGCAGCAAGUGAAGUUAUGAGUUUGUUACAAGGUUUGGGAAUCAUCAGUCUGGACUCUGCCAUGCUGUUGCCUUGCAAGCAGAAAGAUGUCAUGUCAAUUCUGGAGCUACAGAAGUGCUGUGACAUCAGAUGACCUUCUCCACUGUCUCCAAACCCUGUGUAUGCACAUACAGCCAACAGCAGACUGCAUCCACCUCUAGAAGAAUGGGUGUUUAAGGUGCUUGAACACAGCAGCCUGAAAUGUGGAGUUCUAAUGCACUUGGAAAUGCUUUCCUGGCCCUUCCUGUUCCUCAGAAAUAUGGCUUGAUUCAACAGCAAGGAGGGAAGUCUGCCAGCAUGAAGGACAGCACUGACUGUGUGGCAAAGUCAACUGAAAGACCUGACACAAGUCUUCAGUGCAACUUCUGGACUUUGAUUUGACAUGAACUAUUAUUGCAAUCAAUUGAUACAAACUUUUUUCAAACUGACAAAAUCUGAAAACUCUGUACCCAAGACUAAAGACUGAGUUGCAUUAUUUACCGUGUUUUAGGGUCAGAGAUGAUUCAAGUAACAAGACGGCAAUCAACGCAUCUUCUUCAAGUACUUUCUUUCUUAGACUUAGUUUAGCAUGAGCCUUAGACAGUGAAAUCCUGACACAUGAAUACAAGCAUGUCAGAAAUAAAUAUUGCGGACAUGAA